UUUAUUUGUUGGGGUUUGUAUGAUUGUAUCAUAUUCUAUUUUGUUUUUUUUUUGUGCGACUCAUUGCAUUCUAGUAGCUCCCUUUCAUGUUCAUCUUUAUGCAUGCUUCAUUAUUUUUCUAUCUUGAGCUGGGAUUUGUGUUUGUGCCAGAUGGGUUCUAUAAUGCACCAUAAUUUAAAGCUUCCUUUCUUAUUUUGGUUUGGGUUUCGUUAAAAUUUUGAGAUCUUCGUGCACCCUCUACUCCUGGCCUUCUGUUUUUCAGCCUUUGACUGGCCUUUUUAGUAGUUCUCUUUUUACUUACACUUGUUGACCUUCUGUAUUCAGUUGUUGGCUCACCAUGAGCUAUUCAAUCUCAUGGAUAUAUGUAGUGAUGAUGAAACUGGUGAGCCAAACUCAGUGUCCCCAGCGCUAACUUCUCAGCAAUUUCGAAAAGCUAUCUGGAAACUACAAAUAGCACAGGAAAAAGGGUCCAGAAAUGAGGUCAAAUUUGUUACUGAUAAAGAGCAAUUAGCUGAGAUGAAAAAUUGAGAACCAAAACAUGAUGCAGCGUGUGAAAUGGGGGCCAAGAGGAUGGUGGGAUUGUUUGGGGGAUUUAUGUCAGGGACAGUGCUGUUGGGGAGAAGCUGAGCAAGAGGCCUCGAGUUAUGAUGAUCAAUUGACAGAAGCCUUUGCGGAGAUGAGCGACUACUCAAGUGCUCCUAGCGCACCUCAGAGGCUCAGAUACCAAUUGUAAUAUGAUUGAGUUUGAGUCAAGAGUUUUAUAUGGGGGAGUUUGAUAUUGAUCAGAACCCGCCUAUUCCUCUGCGGGAUGUGCUUGGGAAGGUGGAGCCUUUCUUGAUGGCAUAUGAGGGUAUUCAGAUUCAAGAUGAGUGGGGAGGUAUAGUUUUGCUUGCUCUUGCGUUAUUUUUGUCAUCUGAUUUGGCUGAUGUGUGAUGUAAUUCUCUGUCUCCAUCUUUAUGUCACACUAAUAUGUUACCAUAGGAGUUUCCUAGUAGUUGAUUUUGUAAAGCCAUAAGAGUUUGUAGUAGUUAAUCAUUACAUGAGGAAUUUAGAUGUUUCGGAGCUGAUCAAAAAGUUGUAUCUUGAUUUUCUAAUACAACUUUUUCUAUGGCACUUACUUCCUCUUUGUUGAUAUGCCCAUAUGCCAUAUAGUUUAUUUAGUCUCAAAAUUUAAUGAAGAGCUACUCAGAAUGGAAACAUACACGUGUUUAUGUAUGUUUGUAUAGGAGCUCUUAGAAUAUGUACAUGUAUAUGUUUCGCAGCGGUCAGCAUCUGUCUUUAACUAUGAUCUCUCAUCUGUCUAUAAUGCAAUGCUGAG
Long non-coding RNA from Rosa chinensis, 1318 nucleotides. RefSeq lists it as uncharacterized. The record is from RefSeq and is a predicted model, not a curated record. The transcript is spliced from 3 exons. Lineage: Eukaryota; Viridiplantae; Streptophyta; Magnoliopsida; Rosales; Rosaceae.